AAUUAUAGACCAGAAGUAUAUUUGGGACGAAAGCCUACAACAUAUACACCAAUGUUCGUUAAAUACCAGACACUCUUUAAUACAAUUUAAAGUACUAUAUAGACUGCAUUAUUCUAAAACAAAAUUAAAUAGAAUUUUUCCUAAUAUCUCUCCUA
Molecule: long non-coding RNA, 155 nt
Organism: Amblyraja radiata (thorny skate)
Lineage: Eukaryota; Metazoa; Chordata; Chondrichthyes; Rajiformes; Rajidae
Exons: 3
Source: RefSeq, a predicted model, not a curated record